This is a non-coding RNA of Ictidomys tridecemlineatus (thirteen-lined ground squirrel), 73 nucleotides long. NCBI's taxonomy places the organism in Eukaryota, Metazoa, Chordata, Mammalia, Rodentia, Sciuridae. The record is from Rfam.
AGGGAUAUAGCUCAGUUGGUAGAGUGCUUGUCUCGAAUGCACAAGGCCCUGGGUUCAAUCCCUAGCACCACCA